GAUGAACGCUGGCGGCGUGCCUAAUACAUGCAAGUCGAGCGAACAGACGAGGAGCUUGCUCCUCUGACGUUAGCGGCGGACGGGUGAGUAACACGUGGAUAACCUACCUAUAAGACUGGGAUAACUUCGGGAAACCGGAGCUAAUCCCGGAUAAUAUAUUGAACCACAUGGUUCAAUAGUGAAAGACGGUUUUGCUGUCACUUAUAGAUGGAUCCGCGCCGCAUUAGCUAGUUGGUAAGGUAAAGGCUUACCAAGGCAACGAUGCGUAGCCGACCUGAGAGGGUGAUCGGCCACACUGGAACUGAGACACGGUCCAGACUCCUACGGGAGGCAGCAGUAGGGAAUCGGCCGCAAUGGGCGAAAGCCUGACGGAGCAACGGCGCGUGAGUGAUGAAGGUCUUCGGAUCGGAAAACUCUGUUAUGAGGGAAGAACAAAUGUGUAAGGAACUAUGCACUGCUUGACGGUACCUAAUCAGAAAGCCACGGCUAACUACGUG
Molecule: ribosomal RNA, 497 nt
Filed under: uncultured bacterium
Lineage: Bacteria
Description: partial 16S ribosomal RNA
Rfam family: Bacterial small subunit ribosomal RNA
Source: RNAcentral